This 364-nucleotide ribosomal RNA is filed under the name uncultured bacterium. RNAcentral describes it as "bacterial SSU rRNA". It matches the Rfam family "Bacterial small subunit ribosomal RNA", at positions 28 to 384 of the family's 1533-position model. The record is from RNAcentral.
GAUGAACGCUAGCGGCAGGCCUAACACAUGCAAGUCGAGGGGCAGCAUUUCCAGCUUGCUGGAAGAUGGCGACCGGCGCACGGGUGCGCAACGCGUAUGGAACCUGCCCUCUGCAGGGGAAUAGCCCAUGGAAACGUGGAUUAAUGCCCCAUAGUAUCACUCCCCCGCAUGGGCGGGGUGAUUAAAGCCUUCGGGCGGCAGGGGAUGGCCAUGCGUACCAUUAGCUAGUUGGUAAGGUAACGGCUUACCAAGGCUACGAUGGUUAGGGGCCCUGAGAGGGGGAUCCCCCACACUGGUACUGAGACACGGACCAGACUCCUACGGGAGGCAGCAGUGAGGAAUAUUGGACAAUGGGCGGGAGCCU